AUGAACGCUGGCGGCGUGCCUAAUACAUGCAAGUCGAGCGAACAGACGAGGAGCUUGCUCCUCUGACGUUAGCGGCGGACGGGUGAGUAACACGUGGAUAACCUACCUAUAAUACUGGGAUAACUUCGGGAAACCGGAGCUAAUACCGGAUAAUAUAUUGAACCGCAUGGUUCAAUAGUGAAAGACGGUUUUGCUGUCACUUAUAGAUGGAUCCGCGCCGCAUUAGCUAGUUGGUAAGGUAACGGCUUACCAAGGCAACGAUGCGUAGCCGACCUGAGAGGGUGAUCGGCCACACUGGAACUGAGACACGGUCCAGACUCCUACGGGAGGCAGCAGUAGGGAAUCUUCCGCAAUGGGCGAAAGCUUGACGGAGCAACGCCGCGUGAGUGAUGAAGGUCUUCGGAUCGUAAAACUCUGUUAUUAGGGAAGAACAAAUGUGUAAGUAACUAUGCACGUCUUGACGGUACCUAAUCAGAAAGCCACGGCUAACUACGUG
This 496-nucleotide ribosomal RNA is filed under the name uncultured bacterium. RNAcentral describes it as "partial 16S ribosomal RNA". It matches the Rfam family "Bacterial small subunit ribosomal RNA", at positions 29 to 507 of the family's 1533-position model. The record is from RNAcentral.